This 101-nucleotide transfer RNA is filed under the name Phaeosphaeria sp. MPI-PUGE-AT-0046c. It matches the Rfam family "tRNA". Rfam says of the family: Transfer RNA (tRNA) molecules are approximately 80 nucleotides in length. Their secondary structure includes four short double-helical elements and three loops (D, anti-codon, and T loops). Further hydrogen bonds mediate the characteristic L-shaped molecular structure. tRNAs have two regions of fundamental functional importance: the anti-codon, which is responsible for specific mRNA codon recognition, and the 3' end, to which the tRNAs corresponding amino acid is attached (by aminoacyl-tRNA synthetases). tRNAs cope with the degeneracy of the genetic code in two manners: having more than one tRNA (with a specific anti-codon) for a particular amino acid; and 'wobble' base-pairing, i.e. permitting non-standard base-pairing at the 3rd anti-codon position. The record is from Rfam by way of RNAcentral. Lineage: Eukaryota; Fungi; Ascomycota; Dothideomycetes; Pleosporales; Phaeosphaeriaceae.
GGCACUUUGGCGGAGUGGUUAACGCGCUGGCCUGCUAGUCGUUCAAGAGCGAAAGUUAGCCAGUUCCUUCGGGAGCGUGUGUUCGAAUCACACAGGUGUCG